RNAcentral lists this ribosomal RNA (482 nucleotides) under uncultured bacterium. Its description in RNAcentral is "partial 16S ribosomal RNA". It matches the Rfam family "Bacterial small subunit ribosomal RNA", at positions 30 to 507 of the family's 1533-position model. The record is from RNAcentral.
AUUGAACGCUGGCGGCAUGCCUUACACAUGCAAGUCGAACGGUAACGGGCCUUCGGGUGCCGACGAGUGGCGAACGGGUGCGUAAUACAUCGGAACGUGCCCGAUCGUGGGGGAUAACGAGGCGAAAGCUUUGCUAAUACCUCAUACGAUCUACGGAUGAAAGCAGGGGACCGCAAGGCCUUGCGCGGGCGGAGCGGCCGAUGGCAGAUUAGGUAGUUGGUGGGAUAAAAGCUUACCAAGCCGACGAUCUGUAGCUGGUCUGAGAGGAUGAUCAGCCACACUGGGACUGAGACACGGCCCAGACUCCUACGGGAGGCAGCAGUGGGGAAUUUUGGACAAUGGGCGCAAGCCUGAUCCAGCCAUGCCGCGUGCAGGAUGAAGGCCUUCGGGUUGUAAACUGCUUUUGUACGGAACGAAAAGCCUUCUUUUAAUACAGGAGGGUCAUGACGGUACCGUAAGAAUAAGCACCGGCUAACUACGUG